AAAAUAUUGAAGGAACGGAAGUACCAAUAGUAAAAGUAUUGAAGAUAACCGAAUAAAGGAAAUAAUAGUAGUGAUAUAACUGAAGCAUAAGAUAAUGCUAGCAUAAUAGUAAUAGUAUGACAAGGGAACAAAUAGAUGCACCAAGACUACAAGCUUCCAUGACCACUAUGAAGAGAGAAAAUGCUCUACAACCUACUUGCCGUUUGCCCUAAUCUUUGACCUCCAUGCCCUCUAUCUAGGAUCAUUUCCUCGGUAAACUAGAGAUAGUCAUAUCUUGUCUGAUCAUAUUUCCCCAAUUCUUUCUCAGUUUACCUCUAUCUCUCUUCAAACCUAUCACUACCAACCUCCGCAUCUUGUCUACACACGAAGGCUACUUCAGCCUUGCCUCACAUAUGUUCGUUCCUAAUCCUGUCUCUUCUAGUAUGCCCGCACAUCCAUCUAAGAAUCCUCAUUUCCUCUUAACUUCAUAUUCUGAAAAUGGGAGUUCUUGACUGGCCAUACUCCAUCUUGUACAACAUAGUUGGUCUAACAAUCACUCUAUAAAACUACCUUUAAGUCUCAAUGACAUAUUCACUUAGGACACAAGAUGUGCGCCUUUAUUUCAUCUGCCCCACUCCAAUACGAUGUGCAACAUCUUGUCGUUCUACCCAUUCCCUUGGAUUUUAG
RNAcentral lists this unclassified non-coding RNA (666 nucleotides) under Hevea brasiliensis (rubber tree). Lineage: Eukaryota; Viridiplantae; Streptophyta; Magnoliopsida; Malpighiales; Euphorbiaceae. The record is from RNAcentral.